UACGGAGGGUGCAAGCGUUAUCCGGAUUCACUGGGUUUAAAGGGUGCGUAGGUGGGAAUGUAAGUCAGUGGUGAAAUCUUCGAGCUUAACUCGGAAACUGCCAUUGAUACUAUGUUUCUUGAAUCUUCUGGAGGUUAGCGGAAUAUGUCAUGUAGCGGUGAAAUGCUUAGAUAUGACAUAGAACACCAAUUGCGAAGGCAGCUAGCUACAGGGGUAUUGACACUGAGGCACGAAAGCGUGGGGAUCAAACAGG
Molecule: ribosomal RNA, 253 nt
Filed under: uncultured bacterium
Lineage: Bacteria
Description: partial 16S ribosomal RNA
Rfam family: Bacterial small subunit ribosomal RNA
Source: RNAcentral